UGUAUUGAUAGUUUAGGGAUAGGGCUUUGACUUGAAUAUAAUUUAACUUACUUUUUUUUAUUUGUUUCUUCCUAAUUUUGCUUAAUUUCAUGCCUUUAUUUAAAAAGAGAAGUUCAUGUCUUAGUUUAGUUUCUAUUGGUCCCUUAAAGUCAAUCUCUUAUUCUUUCUUGUUCUAUAUUUCCUUAUUACUGCAAACAAUAGUUGAUCCUUUUAUUAUGUGUUUGGUUACAGUUUAUUUAUCAUGGUUAACGUGGACGUAAUACUCAACUACGGUUGGGAAUGGACUUAUGAGCCACAAGUCAAGUAUCAUAAAAAGUAAUUUCAUAUUUGGGCAGGAUAUGACUCUAACUAUCUAUAUUGUAUUAGCAUUGUAGAUGAGUACUGUAAUAAUUUAGGGUUUAUUGGGGUUCAACAACUUAUAGUAGUUGUCCCUUCUGGUAGUUUCUAUGAAAUUGAGGGGGGUAGUGGUAUUAGGAGCUUAUUGUCUAUGGCUAGUACAGAUUACUCUGUGAUUAACUAAUUUGUCGUUGAUAAUUAUGAGUUACCAAUUGAUAUAUCUGAUAUUCUGAAUUAUACUGAGCCUUCUGAACCUAAUCAAAUUGAUGAUGAACCUAAUGAUGAUCUUUGUUGAACCUAUCCCUGAGACUAUUGAACCUAGUGUAGGAGUUAUUACUAAUUAUAGCUCAACUGAGACUAAGAGCAUUACUGAUCAAUUUUUAGAUUACGAAGAACUAGACAAUGGUAUGAUCUUCAAGGACAUUCUUGAAGCUAGGAAGUGUUUGAAAUGUAUGCUUUGGCAAAUAAGAAAGAGUUGAGGUUAUUAAAAGUGACACAAAAAGGCUGAGGUAUGAGUCAAGUAGGUUGCCCGUUUGUUUGUCUCAUUUCUAAGGAUGGGGACUGCCCCGAGGUUAGAAGAUCCUAAAAAUAUAUCAUAAUCGGUUGAUUGCUUAUGAUAACAGUAAAGUUGAUUACUUCACCAUUGCACACUAGUUUAAAAGAAGUUGCAAGAUAAUCCUAAAGAUAAAGUGAAGGAGAUGCGGGCUGACUUUAAAACUGCAUUUGAGCUUAAUUCAAGUCAUGACAAGUGCAAGAGGGUAAAAAAAAUUAUUCUGGAUAAACUGCAAUGCAGCUUUAAGGAUGAUUAUAAUAGGCUAGAAGCCUAUGCCAAUGAGUUGAGGACAGUAAUUAUGGAAAUGAUAUAAUUAUCAAUUUAUCAAAAGAUGAACUUCUCGAAGGUAGGAAGAAAUUCUAUCGACUAUACAUUUGUUUCCAUUCAUUGAAGAUGGGUUUCAAGGAAGGUUUAGAACAUUUCAUUGAAUUGGAUGGGACAUUUCUCAAGGGAAAAGCUAAAGGUCGGGUUUUGGUUGCUGUUCCACUUGACUCAAACAGUCAUUUUUAUCCUAUAGCUUGAGAUGUAUUUGACAAAGAGACAAAGAGAACCUGGGACUGGUUCUUGAGACUGAUGAAGAUGUCACAGGAACUAAACAUGGGAGAGGGAUACACUUUCAUUCCAGAUAUGCAAAAGGAACCAUUUCUAUUUUCUAUUGUUCUGUCCAUUUAUAUUUUCUAUAAUUUCGGUCCACUUUUCCAUGUUACAGUUUUGUCCACUUUUUUUUUUUUUUAAAUAAUAUAAAUGGUCUAGUCUUUCUUAUUACAGUUUUGUCCACUUUUUUGUUUUAUAAUGUUCUUACUUACAUCUUAUUUUAUGUUCUAUUGCUUAUGAAUUGUAGAAUUUGCUUGAGGUAAUGAAAGUUGUUCUCCCAGAAGCUAACCAUAAUAAUUGUGUUAGACACAUUAUUUCUAAUUGGAUGAAGAGGUGGAGAUCUGUUAAAUGAAGAAGCUGAUGUGGUGGAAUGUAUGGUCCACCUAUGAGGAGGAGUUUGAUGACCAACUGAGGAAGCUAAGGGACAUGUAUGAAGAUGUUGUACGAGAUUUGAUUCAUUAUCCUCCUCAAUCAUGGUGUAGAACAUUUUUGAAACUGUAUGAAAAAUAUGGUUGUGGAUAACAAUGUUUCAAAGUCAUUCAAUGCAUGAAUCUUAGAUGCAAGGUACAAACCCAUAAUCACAAUGCUAAAGAACAUUAGAUUCAAGGUUAUCAACAUGAUGAGGCCUACUAACUUCAGCCCAAUGUGUGAGGCUUUAUGUUGAUUAUUUGAGAAUUGCUCAUACUUGUGUCUUUCAUUUCAAUGGUGACUUUGGAUAUGAGAUUAUUGAAGGGGCUGAUAGACACACAGUGAGCUUGAGUUCAAAACAAUGCACUUGCAGAACACGACAACUUUCUGGCAUACCAUGUCCUCAUGCUAUCAAAGCUUUGAUGUAUAAGAGGAUUGACCCCUUGACAGAAAUUCAUUGCCAACACAAUUAUCAAGUUAGCUGGCAGGCGUAAGGUGAAGAGGAAUAGACCAAAAGAUGACACCAUCAAAAGACAAAGAGCAUAGUCUAUUUCAAGGAAGAGGAAUAUGGUGUGCAACAAAAGUGGAGAGACAAACAACAACGCAAGAGGGUGUAAGAACGUACAUGUUACUUUCAAUAUCCAUUAACAGUGUAUUUUUAAUUCUGUAAUCAUUUUCUUAUUUUUAUGAUAACAUGUUAAGGAAAAACGGCCAGUGAGAAAGGAAGAAUCCAACUGUUAAUUUGAAGACGUUGAUGUGGACACACAACUAUUUGGACCAGAGGCAACUUAGACCA
Molecule: long non-coding RNA, 2687 nt
Organism: Lycium ferocissimum
Lineage: Eukaryota; Viridiplantae; Streptophyta; Magnoliopsida; Solanales; Solanaceae
Exons: 2
Source: RefSeq, a predicted model, not a curated record